GUCUCCAUGAACUCAGACUCAAGUCCGGCAAUGAACCCACAGAGAACGUGGACAGACGCAAAGGCAGGCAGGACCACAAAGCCAAUGAGCUUCCGGAACCAGGCGUCCUGUAGCUCAGGGGCAGCAUCCUCCAGGGGCGACGUGUCCUCCCACACCAGCUGGAUCAGCUGGCAGUCUGGCUCCCAGAAGGGCUCCUCAAACUCCAGGAAGAUUUUGUUGUUGGUCCCAAAGCCUAUCUUCCUGAUUGCUUCUGCCUUCUCAGCCGGCAGGGGAGGGUCAAAGAAGGUGUCCAAAUGUUC
This 299-nucleotide long non-coding RNA is filed under the name Homo sapiens (human). RNAcentral describes it as "LNC_000581". The record is from RNAcentral. Lineage: Eukaryota; Metazoa; Chordata; Mammalia; Primates; Hominidae.